AGUGAACGCUGGCGGUAGGCCUAACACAUGCAAGUCGAACGGCAGCACAGUAAGAGCUUGCUCUUACGGGUGGCGAGUGGCGGACGGGUGAGGAAUACAUCGGAAUCUACUUUUUCGUGGGGGAUAACGUAGGGAAACUUACGCUAAUACCGCAUAUGACCUACGGGUGAAAGCAGGGGAUCUUCGGACCUUGCGCGAUUGAAUGAGCCGAUGUCGGAUUAGCUAGUUGGCGGGGUAAAGGCCCACCAAGGCGACGAUCCGUAGCUGGUCUGAGAGGAUGAUCAGCCACACUGGAACUGAGACACGGUCCAGACUCCUACGGGAGGCAGCAGUGGGGAAUAUUGCACAAUGGGCGCAAGCCUGAUCCAGCCAUACCGCGUGAGUGAAGAAGGCCUUCGGGUUGUAAAGCCCUUUUGUUGGGAAAGAAAAACAGCAGAUUAAUCCCCCGCUGUUCUGACGGUACCCAAAGAAUAAGCACCGGCUAACUUCGUG
RNAcentral lists this ribosomal RNA (492 nucleotides) under uncultured bacterium. Its description in RNAcentral is "partial 16S ribosomal RNA". It matches the Rfam family "Bacterial small subunit ribosomal RNA", at positions 29 to 507 of the family's 1533-position model. The record is from RNAcentral.